GACCCCGUAGCUCAGUGGUAGAGCGUGAGAUUCCAGAUAGGUUGAAUUUCCUCAAGGUCAUCCGUUCAAUCCGGGUCGGGGUCA
This 84-nucleotide transfer RNA is filed under the name Lentinula lateritia. Its description in RNAcentral is "tRNA-Trp". It matches the Rfam family "tRNA". From Rfam's summary of the family: Transfer RNA (tRNA) molecules are approximately 80 nucleotides in length. Their secondary structure includes four short double-helical elements and three loops (D, anti-codon, and T loops). Further hydrogen bonds mediate the characteristic L-shaped molecular structure. tRNAs have two regions of fundamental functional importance: the anti-codon, which is responsible for specific mRNA codon recognition, and the 3' end, to which the tRNAs corresponding amino acid is attached (by aminoacyl-tRNA synthetases). tRNAs cope with the degeneracy of the genetic code in two manners: having more than one tRNA (with a specific anti-codon) for a particular amino acid; and 'wobble' base-pairing, i.e. permitting non-standard base-pairing at the 3rd anti-codon position. The record is from RNAcentral. Lineage: Eukaryota; Fungi; Basidiomycota; Agaricomycetes; Agaricales; Omphalotaceae.